This 478-nucleotide ribosomal RNA is filed under the name uncultured bacterium. RNAcentral's name for it is "partial 16S ribosomal RNA". It matches the Rfam family "Bacterial small subunit ribosomal RNA", at positions 28 to 523 of the family's 1533-position model. The record is from RNAcentral.
GACGAACGCUGGCGGCGUGCUUGACACAUGCAAGUCGAACGGUAAGGCCCUUCGGGGUACACGAGUGGCGAACGGGUGAGUAACACGUGGGUGAUCUGCCCUGCACUUCGGGAUAAGCCUGGGAAACUGGGUCUAAUACCGGAUAGGACCCUGGGAUGCAUGUCCUGGGGUGGAAAGCUUUUGCGGUGUGGGAUGGGCCCGCGGCCUAUCAGCUUGUUGGUGGGGUGAUGGCCUACCAAGGCGACGACGGGUAGCCGGCCUGAGAGGGUGACCGGCAGACCUGGGACUGAGAGGCGGCCCAGACUCCUACGGGAGGCAGCAGUGGGGAAGAUUGCACAAUGGGCGCAAGCCUGAUGCAGCGACGCCGCGUGAGGGAUGACGGCCUUCGGGUUGUAAACCUCUUUCGGCACCGACGAAGCGCAAGUGACGGUAGGUGCAGAAGAAGGACCGGCCAACUACGUGCCAGCCGCCGCAGUAA